Molecule: ribosomal RNA, 406 nt
Filed under: uncultured bacterium
Lineage: Bacteria
Description: partial 16S ribosomal RNA
Rfam family: Bacterial small subunit ribosomal RNA
Source: RNAcentral
AUUGAACGCUGGCGGCAGGCCUAACACAUGCAAGUCGAGCGAGCGGCGGACGGGUGAGUAAUGUAUGGGGAACUGGCUGAUGGCGGGGGAUAACUACUGGAAAAGGUAGCUACAACCGCAUACCGUACGAUGAACCGAUGUGGGAGUAGGUAGUAGGUGAGGUAACGGCUUACCUAGGCGAAGAUCCCUAGCUGGUCUGAGAGGAUGAUCGGCCACACUGGGACUGAGACACGGCCCAGACUCCUACGUGAGGCAGCAGUGGGGAAUAUGGCACAAUGGGCGCAAGCCGGAUGCAGCCAUGCCGCGUGUGUGAAGAAGGCCUUCGGGUUGUAAAGUGCUGUCAGUCGGGAGGCGUUACCGACAGAGGAAGCACCGGCUAACUCCGUGCCAGCAGCCGCGGUAAUAC